Molecule: non-coding RNA, 30 nt
Filed under: Homo sapiens (human)
Lineage: Eukaryota; Metazoa; Chordata; Mammalia; Primates; Hominidae
Source: RNAcentral
CUUCUGCUUUAAUGCUCUCCCAACUCCUGU